AAUCAACGCUGGCGGCGUGCCUCAGACAUGCAAGUCGAACGCGAAAGUCCCCUUCGGGGGACAAGUAGAGUGGCGCACGGGUGAGUAACACGUAGGUAAUCUACCUUCGGAUGGGGAAUAACAACCGGAAACGGUUGCUAAUACCGCAUAAUGCAGCGGCACCUAAUGGUGACAGUUGUUAAAGCGGGGGAUCGAAAGACCCCGCGUCUGAAGAGGAGCCUGCGGCGGAUUAGCUAGUUGGAAGGUAAUGGCUUACCAAGGCGACGAUCCGUAGCCGGCCUGAGAGGGCGGUCGGCCACACUGACACUGACAUACGGGUCAGACUCCUACGGGAGGCAGCAGUCGGGAAUUUUGGGCAAUGGGCGAAAGCCUGACCCAGCAACGCCGCGUGAAGGAUGAAAUCCCUCGGGAU
Molecule: ribosomal RNA, 412 nt
Filed under: uncultured bacterium
Lineage: Bacteria
Description: bacterial SSU rRNA
Rfam family: Bacterial small subunit ribosomal RNA
Source: RNAcentral